GGAAAUGUGCCUGAUUAUAGGAUUACUUUGAUAGAGUAAAAUAUAGGGCUUAACCCCCCCUCAUUUCUU
This 69-nucleotide transfer RNA is filed under the name Asymblepharus sp. RNAcentral describes it as "tRNA-Ile". The record is from RNAcentral. Lineage: Eukaryota; Metazoa; Chordata; Lepidosauria; Squamata; Scincidae.